CUUCAAAUCAUGGCAUUUUCUAAGUACUUAGAAACCCAGAGUCCAGCAAACCCAAUCCUUUAUUUUAUAAAUAAGAAAAUGGAAGAAAGCUCAAGACAGGAAGUUACACAGUUAAUGCUAAAGGUCUGACAAUAAUCCAGAAAAGGGAAACUCUAACUCCUCGUCCCACUUAAAUGAACCUGUGCCCUGACCCCUCAAAGCCGUGGGUUUUCAUUUCAACACCUAUUGCACCAACAAUAAAUGAAUCAUCCAGUAAAAACUCCCCUAAUUUUCCCAAUCUCUAACCCAACAUGGUGGAGCCAAAAGAAUACAGCCUUGGUGCCAGAAAGACCUGGAUCCAAUCUCAGCUCUGUCCUUUACUAUCCACGUGACUGUGGGGAAGUUACUAAACCCAUUUCAGGCUAAAUGUCUUCACCUGUUAAACAGCAACAAUCGACUAGAAAUCCACCCAGGAGGGUUCGUGUGAUGGUGAGGAUACAAUGGCCAGAAGGUAGAUGGUCAAUGAUGGCGGUUAUUUUCACACGCCCCUCUCCGCCUCCUUAAGGUAUCCUUAUCUUCACCCACACCCUCCUCCUUCCCACCAGCAUCCCUCAGCAGACAGGGUUUUCAUCUUCUUUUCAAAGUGCAUCCCUCUUCCUCAGAUUAUGAAUCUGUGUUCUUCCCUGGGCUCCAAGCCAUCAGCGGACAGUUCUCUCCAGCACCUUAUACUCCUUCUCUGUGGACUGCUUCCCUUCUGGCUUCUCAGCUGCUCAAGAGUCCCCUGGCUUGAAAACGCCCUGGACGGAGAGGUUGCAGCAGAGUGGUUCCACCUGGGGAGCAGGGCGACAGUGAUGUUGACGUCCUUGUCCAGGGACACUGUGAGAGCCACUGCUCCAGAGCCUUGCAACUCAAGCUGUUAUCCAUUCUUCCUGCUUUGCAACACUGGUUCUCAGCCUUGACUGCAAAUCGCUAUCACCUGGCGAGCUUUACAGACUGCUGAUUCUCGGGCCCCAUGCCCAGGGAUGCGGAGGAAAUCAGUACGGGUGCAGCCCGGGAAGCCGAACGCCUGCAUCUCCACAGAUGACUCUAAUGAGAGCAAAGUUUAAGAAGCACUGAUUUAAAACCACUGCUUGCCACAUUCCUGAGAUACCUCACUCUUCUAUAUUUUCUCCUACUUCUUGAUCACUUCUUGGCAUCCGUCGCUUACUACUUUUUCUAUCACUCUGCUGGUUUUAUCCAUCACUACUACAAACAUGACUCUUGUAUCUGUAUCUGAAAGCUUGACAUCUAACUAAGCUCCCCACCCGGCCUCUGUUGACUUCCAGGUUUGGAUUAACGUGUCUGCUGCAUGGCUUUUCAAGCCCAUUUCCACUCACAGCUGCUUCCUGGCUUCCUGGGCUUUCACAGCUACUACAAUAGCCUCCAAAAUGUCUCUGCUUCUCACCUCUUUCCCCGACUCAGUUUACACACCUUGACAGUGGAGCCAAUUCCUUACUCCCACUCCACGGCGUCUAUUAACAUGUCACUGAAGUAGCACUCUCAGGGGCCAACCACAGGAGUACUACAAUGAACUAUUUCAUAAAAUAAUAUCCACACAUGCACAUGCCCAGCCUGCUUUAGCUGGUACAUUUCUUUUCUUUAUAGUACUUCUCAUCUUCUAACUUUAUACAAUUUAUUAUGUUUACUGUUAAGUAUCUGUCACCCACCGUUAGAGUAGAUGCUACAUGAGCACAGAGAUUUCUGUCUAUUUUAUUCUCUGAUUUGUCUCAAGAGCCCAGAAGAGCACCUGGAACUCAAUCAUUAUUGGUUGAAUGAAUUAAUAAAUUUCAACCAUAGUCAGCCAUGUAGAUAUCAGCUAAUUAUUCAUAAAUUAGGGAGGAAAGAUUAAAUAUCUGAUUAAAAUUUUUGGCUGCUAAUUUAUUGAACUUGGAUGGAUGAACCGUUUGGAAGUCACGUGACUUUCCCUGUGUGUCUGCUGUUAUUCCACAGAAAGAGACGGUUCAUUUCAGCCCUCCCCCGUCUAUUGUUCUGAGCCACCCAGCAAAAUGAUGUCAUGGGCAGCUUAAAAGUAUACAGGAAGUCUUCAAAACUGAAUGACUUCAAUAUACUUUGUUCCGUGGACUCUUGCUGCCGGCUCUCCAUGGAAACCACACCCCGCAGACCUCAGGGAGGCGGCCAUAGGAUCAAAUCAUAGGCUCAGAGCGUCUCUCCUCUCCUCACCUCCGCCAUCCCAUUCUCUCCCCCGCCCCCGGGCCAGCGCGCCCACCGCUCACCUCCAGCCCAGGGCCUUGGACAGAGGCCAGCGCCAGAGGAGGGAAGGGAAGCUCAGAGAAAGGAAAGCCAGAGGAAUAGGAGGGCAGAGGGAGUUUCCUCAGAAAUACAGAGGCGCAGGACUCUCAGGACAACCAAAGGUCACCCUUAUUGGCCCUUCCCGACAGAGUCAGUCAGUUUGGCAGAGCUGCCAGUCAUGGCAAUGUCUCCAGAGAAGACGCACUGAUAGAAACCAUAUGGGACUUGUCUCAACUUGCAAAGUGCAGCAAGAGAGCUUCAUUGAGACUGCUGCCCAGUGACACACUCUGAGUAAAGUUAAGCAGGAGACAGUUUAUAACAGGAUC
This 2594-nucleotide long non-coding RNA is filed under the name Equus caballus (horse). RNAcentral describes it as "lncRNA (ENSECAG00000056394.1)". Lineage: Eukaryota; Metazoa; Chordata; Mammalia; Perissodactyla; Equidae. The record is from RNAcentral.